Long non-coding RNA from Scophthalmus maximus (turbot), 2572 nucleotides. RefSeq lists it as uncharacterized. The record is from RefSeq and is a predicted model, not a curated record. The transcript has 2 exons. Lineage: Eukaryota; Metazoa; Chordata; Actinopteri; Pleuronectiformes; Scophthalmidae.
CUAGAUCUGUCUCUCACUCUUUCUCUCCACUUCUGCUUCUUCUGCGCCCUUUUUUUUUCCAUCUGUGCACUCUUUUCUUUCAUUCCUCUCCUCUUCCUUUUCACUUGGUCUCCUCUCCCAUUCUCACCCCCCCUCCAAAGUAAGAUUCCUUCACUUUGGGUCAACUCUCCUCUUCCCUCCCCUCACAGGACUUUUGCUUUCUGUCAUGUGGGACACUGCAGUCAUUCUCUCUCACACGUUACUUGUGUUUGCUCUGUUCUCUUUGAUCAUUUCACUGCACUUCUUUUCCCCCCCACUGCAUUUGCAGAAGUUUGCUGUCCCUCUUUCUUCUUCAAAUCGCAUAUUGACCUCAGGUUUCUUUUUUCCAAUUUAAUUUAGCCUUUUUUUGACAUGACAAUUGUCAACUUUUUCGUCCUCCAUUUUUUAAGGACCAUGGAAAAAACAUUUACCAACACUCAGCCUGGCUGCAUGGCCCACACACGCUCACUCGGCUGGACGGACGCACAAACACCAUUUUGUCCACAGGUUCCCAGCCUUGACUCUGGCGGGGCUGACAUCAGCAGUCAUGUGGCAGACGGAGAGGCAGGUGGGUGAUGUGACAAGGGGGCUGGGCCACUGGGUUCUGCCACGAGGAGGGAAGACUAGGCGCCGAAUUGAUGGAGGUAUCUCUUUGCUCUCUUCAUCCACAACAAGCACAGAUGGGUCUGUGUAUCAUUUCAGGAUAAAGAAAAACAUUUUUAAAAAGAGGAAAUAUUUCAAGGACAUUCCUGACACAAGACAGGAACAGUUUCACCCCAUUAUUUCAGACUUUGGGAGAAAAAUAAGUCUCGCAGAAGCUAAAACUAAAAAAGUACCUCUUAUUAUUUGAAUGCAGAAAAACCCAGCACUGCGGACACUGUUUCUGCGGGAGGUCUGUCGGUCAGACGACGAUCAGCAGUGUUGCUGAUGCACUUAUUGACAGGAAGCUCAGAAUGAGUGCAACAUUGCCUCAUAAAAAUUACAACAGUAGUAAAAGGGCAAAGGCUACUGCAAGGUGCCUGUAGCGUUUUCCUUUGACCACAAAAUGUUCUUGUAAGAGCAGAGUGCAGGACAGACGAAGGGAGAGCAGAGGAGACACGGUGAAAUGGAAGUGCAUUUAGAAUUAGUGCUGAGGACAUAAUGUUACUGUUAAAUUAACCAUUUUAAAACUGCUUAAGGGAUGUUUAUAAAUACAUAACUUCAUUUUCUCUUUCACUUCCUUUUCCAAACAAGGCAAUCAGAGAUGGCAGAUUUCACCACCAUUCACUUAACAUUGCAUAUGUCAUUUUGCAGAAAAUUGCGUCAUUUCAUUAUCAAGUUUGCUACAGAUUUUAGUCUAUGAACUCAAAGGGCUAUUGAACAAGGAGCUAUAACAACUUGACCUUUAAUUGCAAAAUGUGGUAUAUGACCUCUAGUUUUGAUAUGUAUGUCAAGCGGGUGAUAGGUCACCUUUGAAUGCAUUCAUAAAAUUUGAUGAACAUUUCUGAACUUUGAACUAAUUUACCGCAAGAAGAUGUCAUAGGUCAAAUUGAAUGCCACAAACCCCAAAAGCCCUUUAAUAAGUUUCCCAAUGCCGGGGGUCCAAUCUCGAUACAACCAUUAGUUGAUGAGAUAUACAAAUUUGGCCGUGGUGACCUUGACCUUUGACUUUGGUGACCCACAAUGUAUUAAUGUGCAGAAAAAUCCAUAUUAACUGGUACAUCAAGUUUGAUUAAGAUCUGUUCACAUGUGCUUGAGUUAUAUUGUAGACAUUGACUCACGGAGAAAACCAGAUAGAAGCCAAAAACAACACUCUCACUGUAAUGAGACUACAGCUCACUACAGUGUCUCAGAGUCCAAACCAUUUAACUCACAUGUGUUCAGCCUGUGGACCGUUCAAAAACAAACUGUCAAGGAAAGGUCAGUUGUCCUAGUGCUGUAAGGCUUCAGUGCCAAACACUGAGCCACUGCACCGUUGAAUGGCUGCAUUAUUCGGGCGCACACACACACACACCUCUAGUUUUCAAGAAUUGUCACCAAAAAUCGGGACAUUGGGUCAGUUAGAUGACCGAGUGCUUUAGGCAGACCACACAAAGUGAAAAGCAGGAUAUAUUAUAAUAUUAAGGAAGUCUGAUAAGCACUCACACAGGCCCAUAAAUGCCAGUUCUCAAAAAGCGAACCCACUCGCCUGGGCGCCGACGCGCAGGCCAGGGCAGAUGAGCAUGAAGUCAUCCGCUGAAAGUAGCUGACACGGUUUCUUCAUAAACCGGCAUGAAUACUGAAUGUUCAACCCUGCGCGCACCACGAGUGAGCAUUAGUCAACGCGGACACAUCCACAGUCGGUCUCUUGGCGGCAGCACGGUGCAGCUCAUGCAUAAGGAAGCAGCGAGACCUGAGGAGACACUGUGUGGUCAAGAGAAGAGACUGGGGGGGGGGACAGCUGUGUGUCGACGUCCUCGGUCUCAUUGGUUUACCAUUAUUUCCUGUAAAUGUCAUUAAUGGGUGGAAACUUUAUAAUUUAUAUGUAUAGAUAUAACAUCUUUCCAAUAAAAUCACAUCUGUCAGAAAAGUUGAA